This 74-nucleotide transfer RNA is filed under the name Eubacterium saphenum ATCC 49989. It matches the Rfam family "tRNA". From Rfam's summary of the family: Transfer RNA (tRNA) molecules are approximately 80 nucleotides in length. Their secondary structure includes four short double-helical elements and three loops (D, anti-codon, and T loops). The record is from Rfam by way of RNAcentral. Lineage: Bacteria; Bacillati; Bacillota; Clostridia; Peptostreptococcales; Anaerovoracaceae.
GCACCCAUAGCUCAAUUGGAUAGAGUAACGCACUACGAAUGCGGAGGUUGGGGGUUCGACUCCCUCUGGGUGUA